GCUGACUCUCACGGGUACAGGGAUUGGGUUCGAUUCUGGAGAGGAAACUGAGAACGGCUACUACAUCUAAGGAAGGCAGCAGGCGCGUAAUUACCCAAUCCUGUCUCAGGGCCACGUGGUGACAAGAUAUAAUAACCCUAUUAACGUAGUGAUUAUAGUGAGGAUACUCCAAACAGAAUCACAAGAACGAUUAGAGGGCAAGUCUGGUGCCAGCAGCCGCGGUAAUUCCAGCUCUAAUAGCGUAUAUUAAAGUUGCUGCAGUUAAAAAGCUCGUAGUUGGAUUUCAAGGAUUACAUAUUCCUAUGGAAUGUGUACCCUACUAGCCCCCCACGCUGUUACUGUGAGAAAAUUAGAGUGUUUAAAGCAGGCUCAUGCAAGAAUACAUUAGCAUGGAAUAACGAAUGAGUCUAGAAUCUCGUUUAUUCUAGAUCUCGAUUAUAAAGACAGCGGGGCGAGAGGAGGCGAGGAAAUCCUGGAUGUAAGACUAUCUAUGCUUAUUGCAUUUGCAAGAUGUUUCAUUAUCAGACGAACAUACGCCCUCAACGACAUCAAAUCUGUCGUAGUCCUAUCUAUAACUAUGCCGACUAGGAUGAAUGGAACUUACCAUUCAGUACCUUAUGAAAUCAAGCUUCGGGUCCGGGGGGAGUGUCGCAUACUGAACCUCACGUACUCGACGAAGUACCCACGGAUGGACUGGGCUAAUGACUCAACGGAACUACAAGUCGAAUAGAAGAUGACAAUGUAGCUUUCUGA
This 753-nucleotide ribosomal RNA is filed under the name uncultured rumen protozoa. Its description in RNAcentral is "bacterial SSU rRNA". It matches the Rfam family "Eukaryotic small subunit ribosomal RNA", at positions 345 to 1265 of the family's 1831-position model. The record is from RNAcentral.